RNAcentral lists this microRNA precursor (181 nucleotides) under Paramuricea clavata. Lineage: Eukaryota; Metazoa; Cnidaria; Anthozoa; Malacalcyonacea; Plexauridae. The record is from RNAcentral.
CUCUGUUCAAAACUGAACCGAAAAUGCAAGACUUGCUUUAAUUGUUUUCCUUCAAUUCCUUUCUGUAUUAUUUACUAUUAUGGAACUCAUGUUAUUUACACUGUGCUAGAUCAAUACAUAUAAACACUGAAAGAAAACAAUUAAAGCAAGUCUUGCAUUUUCGGUUCAGUUUUGAACCGAG